CGGGAUCAAUUCUUCACCGUUACAAACGGCAGCUAGCUGAGCCGCUACCAGCAGCAAUGCUCACUUCCCACCCCUCCUUUGCAAGCUCCUGUGCUGUGCUCGACAGGGGCUGGGCUGCCUGCGCUCGGUUCUCGCUCUGCCUCUUCCCCCUCCCGAGCUCCUCUUUGCAGUCGCUCUCUUGAGGAGGAAACCGGGCUUAACCAAUUUACCACUUCUUGCUAAUUUCAUCACUUUUCUCUCUCUUUGGCAAAUCGCGUGUGUGGGCUGGUGAGAGGAAGAAGGUGGGUGAUAAAAAGCAACAGUCCGUUUCCCAGAAGCGUCUCUCUUUCUCUCCUAUAUGUGUGUGUGUAUGUAUACGCACGCACGCGCGCGCGCUCGCACACAAACAUCAAAGGCACCUUGAACGCAUUCAGCCAUGGACCAGUUGAACUGAAAAGUUCCCAAGCGGGGCCGGCUGCAGGUUGAUUUCAAACUUUGCUUCUUAUCAGGGGCAGUACGAGGUAGGUGAAAGCAGCAAAGAGGAAGAAAGGUAAGUGGUGGGGGGACGGGGGCCUUCAAUAUCUGGGCUUCCUCCUUCUCCAACCUUUUUGGAAGAUCCGCUCAAAUACCCCGGGGUUAGAACCACAGAAUGAUUUCCAAAAGCAACCCCCUCCCCCCCCGUUUGUUUGUAAAACGUGGAGGUUUUAAGGCAACGGGGAGGUCAGCUUUACAAUCAGCCGUAUGGAGGAGUAGGAGGAGCAGUAGCAAGCAAGAAUUUAGCCGCCAGCCGCGGCCCCUGCACCGAGGGAGCAUGAUCGGCACUCGAUCGAAGCGCGCCUUGCCUGUCGUGGUGGAGAAGGGAGGAGGGAAGGAGAGAGGUCUUAGUUACCAGGUGCUCAGACGCGCCGCGCUUGUCGGGUUGCUGCUGGGGGUGGUGCCAGGCGCUGAGCCGCUCACUCCAUUCACAUGCAUGCAUAUACAAACUGACUGAGGCGCAAGAUGGUUUAUUCUAAGGCAGAGGAAAUAAAUGCCUUCCCCGUAUGACAGGGCAGGCACUCUGGGGGGGGCGGGGGGAGAGGAGGGACGAGCCGCAGCAGUGGGAGAAGGAACUCUCUCCGCCUCCGUCGCGCCCUGCGGAGCUCACUUGUGGCCGCGGAUGACCUUCCGUGCGAGCCACGCCUGGGGCCAGAUGGCUCGCUAGGUGUAGGGGUGUGUGCCGUCUUUCUUUCCCCAGAGAAUCCAGAGUCUAUGACGUCGCCGCGAACGCGGAGUUGGGUAUUGUUUCUCUCAGAACAUCAACACGCCUCUCUGGGGCCUCGAGAAAGGCGGCGCGCACGCUGCUGCUCUUUAGUGGCGCCUUUUGAAUGGAAACACUGACUCGCGGGAAGUAAUGAGCCCUCUUGCUCCUCCUUAUACCUAUCUAGACGGGUAAAGUAAGGCAAGCUGUUGCCAGUGGACUGGUGCCAUCAGGGCAGCGCUUGGGUGGCAGAAGGCAAGGCCCUCUCUUAGCAGAAUGAGCAGGAGAGGCCCCAAACGCAUCAGUGCCGGUGUACCACAUUGAAGUAACACACAACAUUCCCAUAAAAAGGGGUGGGACCCGACCAGGGCAUAAAGCCAAAGUUUAAAAUGGCUGAACUGCACCCACUGGAUGCUGCUAUUCUACACAAGGGGAUGAAGCACAGUGCUGACUAAGGCCACAUUCACACCAUGCAUUUGUUCCACUGUUACUCCACUUUAAACAGCCAUGGCUUUCUCUCAAAUAAUCUUGUUGUUGUUAUGUGCCUCCAAGUCGACUACGACUUAUGGCGACCCUAUGAAUCUGUGACUCCCAAGAGCAUCUGUCAUGAACCACCCUGACUCCCAAGAGCAUCUGUCAUGAACCACCCUAAAGGCAAUUUACUACUGCUGAAAGUUAUACACUUACUCAACUUCUGAUGUGCAGACAAGCAGGAAAAGGAAACUGUUUUCAGGAUUUGCAAUAGCUGUUGCCUGGAGAUGCCUAUCAAUUUCCAACACUCACUGGCACCUUAAGAACUGCAGUAAACAAUAUUUCAAAAACUAGGCAUUGUGCCCAGGUAGAUUUCAAAUACGGAACAAUAGCCAAGAAGAGGAAAUGAAAAUGCCAACAACAACAAAUUGAAAAAACACUCUUGAACCACAUUAAUAAUAAAACAAAAAUCCAAAGCAGAUUUCCUCUUUUCUCUUACAGUUUAUAUGAAAUCACGUAAAAGGUUUUUUAAAAAAACUGACAAAGAAUAAAAUCAAAAUUACAUGCUUCCGUAUACUGUAGCAUCUUAGAAGUCCAUGAAUUUCUGUUACAAGCUGGACUGAGGCCUCCAAAUGAGUGGGCAGUGAGGAAAAGAGCCCUUUAAACUUUUAAGUAUAAAAUGUCUUCAAUAAAAUAAAUGAAAAUGAUUUAUUUGUCAACCACCUGUAAUUGUGUGAUGUGCUAUUUAAAACAAAGCAGUAACUUCAGCAAGCCUUUUGGACUUAAAUAAAACGUGGUGAACU
Molecule: long non-coding RNA, 2490 nt
Organism: Rhineura floridana
Lineage: Eukaryota; Metazoa; Chordata; Lepidosauria; Squamata; Rhineuridae
Exons: 3
Source: RefSeq, a predicted model, not a curated record